GCUCCUCAGGGCCGGCGGCUGCACGGGCAGGGCGGGCGGCGUUCCGCCACCGCGGGUUCCGGGGGAUUUGAGGGGGAAAAGGGGGAAAUAAAGGGAAAAUAGGGGAGAAUAGGGGGAUAUGGGGCUGCCAGGGUGCGGUGUGGGGAUGGGGUGAGGCUGAGGGUGAUGUAUGGGAAGGGUGCUGGUCCCUGUGUGGGGAUGGGGUCAGCCUGAGCCUUCUGUAUGGGAAGGGUCCUGGUCCCAUAUGGGGCUGGGGUCAGCCCAAGCAUGUAUGGGCAGUGUUCUUGUCCCUCUGUGUGGGGAUUUGGUCAGCCCAAGCAUCCCUGUGCGGGAAGGAUCCUGGCCCCCUGCAUGGCGUGGGACUGGGGUCAGCCUGAGCCUCCUUUAUGGGAAGGGUCCUGGUCCCGUGUGGGGCUAGGGUCAGCCCAAGUCUCCUGUAUGGAGAGUGUCCUGGUCCCUCUGUGUGGGGAUGGGGUCAGCCAGAACAUCCCUGUGUGGGAAGGGUCCUGGCCCCCUGUGUGGUGUGGGGAUGGGGUCAGCCCAAGCAUCCCUAUUUGGGAAGGGUCCUCAUCCCUGUGUGGGGCUGGGGUCACCCUGAGCCUCCUGUAUGGGAAGGGUCUUGGUCAGCCCAAGCCUCCUGUGUGGGGUGAGUCCUGGCCCCUGUGUGGGGAUGGGGACAGCCUGAGCAUCCCUGUGACAGAAGGAUCCUCGUCCCUGUGUGGGGUUGGGGUCACCCUAAGCCUCUGUGUAUGGGCUCAGUCCUGGCCCCUUGUGUGGUGUGGGGCUGGGGUCAGCCUGAGCCUCUUGUGAGGGAAGGGUCCUGGUCCCCUGUAUGGUGGGUUGGGGUCAGGGCCUGCCUCACUGCACAGUACGGGGACCAGUCCCGUGGGAUGGGACUGGCAGCCAGCCCUCCCCUGCUGCGUUUUGUAGGGCCCAGCCCUAUGCCAUGAUAUGGGGCUGGGGCCAGGCCCUGUCCUGCUGCGUGAGGGGGGGUCCCUCAGGCAGGCCAGCCCUUCUCCUAGGGUCCGGGGAGCAGCUGCUGGAGCUGCUGACACCUCCCAAAGCUCGAGAGACCAAAAUGAGGUACCCUGCAGAGGCUCCGUGUCACCGAAACCUCCUCAGGACACCAAGCAGAGGGGCCGGGAGCCCCGUGCUGUGCUCCUGGUGUGUGAGCAGCCCCCAGAGCCACAGUGAGCAAACAUGGAGCAGGCAGCCGGCUACGUGGGCUACUCUGCGGCUGAUUUAUUUGUCUGAUCAGGACCGUAAAUCCUCCGGCUUCGGGGCUGAAGUCAGCUUCUGGGGAAGGGAGGAGACUCGGCUGGGGUCUGCUGGCAGGACACAAAUGGCUCCAGCUGACCAUGGGCACCCACGGGGCUCCUCCAAGGCUGCAGCCACGCACCGGGGGCAGCCAGCGAGCCGGGACCCAACCUCGGCGUGCUCGCACAUGUGUGUCCACCGAGAGACAAAAGCAGGGGCUGAAGCAGUGCCGGCCGCCCUCCGAGAGCCCUCCGGCCGCCUUCCAGACCCCCCCAGCCCAGCUGCAGGAGCUUGCAGGAGGGGGGGGGAAGUUGCUUCAGCACCCCCACCACCCCCCCAGCCACCCACCCACCCCCUCUCCUAAGGAAAGGUAAGGAAAAGAAAGCAGCCGAUGCUCUCCACUUGCUCCUGCACCUUUUUGGCUGGGCGUGGGGGUGGGGGGGGUUGGUUUGGGGCGGGGGUGCGGGCUGCUGCUUCGCCAGGCGGUGCAGGAUCCCUGUCACAAUAUUUUUCUGCAGGCAACAAGCCCACACUUGGCAGAGCUGCUGCUUCCCUGCCUCGGCCCUUUCUCAGCUGUUUGGGGAGCCCCUGGCCAUGUGUCGUCCCCCCCCCCUUCCCCUGGCACCCCAAAACGAUGCCCCCCCGUCGAUGGGGCUGCAGGCAGGGGGCAAGGGAAGGGGGCUGGAUGGUGGUGCUGCAAAGCUGGGGGUGACAGUCUGCUCUCCUGGGCAGAAGGAGGGAGAGGACACGUUGCUUUGGGGGAAGAGGGGACCGAGCCCAUCUCAGUGACCUCAGUGGUUUUGGGGAGCCCUCUGCUCCCCCCAUGUGAAGGCUCGCAGCACCAGGGGCUGGUGUGUGUGCUCAGCCGGGCAGCUCUGUGCUGGGAUGAGGAGGAGGAUGGAGCAGGGUCACUCAUUGACCAUGUCCACAUCCCCUCUGGCUUGGCUUCCUUUGCUGGGGGCUUGAAAAGUUUGCUCGCAGGCGAGGUGCGAUGGUAACACCCAAAAUUUGCCCUGCCACCCUCCCCCUUGCUCCUUCUGGCUGGAGGGGUAACGACCCCUGCUUUUGGAGAUGCUCCCAGAGCAGGGAUGUGAGUGGCAGCUCCAGGAACCCAAAUCCAACCCCAGAACCCAAAUCCAGCCCCAUAACCUGGGGCAAGAGCUACGGCCCAGCCCCUGCUCGGGACACAACCUGCACCCCCUGAAAUCCAUCCCUGGGGAGGUGAGGACAGCCUCGGGGUGCCCUUUGGGGCCACACCAGCUUCUCCCACGGGGGCAGAAAUCUGCUCCAGCUGGGAGCAGAGGCACAGGGUGGGGAGCAGCAGCAGUUCUGCUGUUUUUUUCAGGGCAGGCAGGGAACUGAGCACUUGUAUUUUGGGGCAGGAGAGGAGCUGGGAGAGGCUCCCACACAGCACCGCUCGCGUUCUCGGGGCACAUCCUGGAAGCAAUCCUGGUAGCUUCAGCCCUGAGCUGUGCCACAACAAAUACCGCUGCUGUUUAGAUCCCAAAAAGCUCAGGGAACGCAGGGGCUUGGUUAUUUUGGCUCUGCAGAGAGGUGGGGUGCUGCUUUCCCUGUGUGGCUGCCAGGAACCUUCCCGAGGUGCCGCUGGGGUUCCCACACCGCAGCAACAGGCGCUCCCGUGCCCGUCUCCGCCAGGCACGGCGGCUGUACCCAGCCUGGAGAGCCACUGGAUGUCAGUGUUGAUUGAUACAAAUGAAGCCGAAGGAAUAUCUGUUUUGUUCUUUUUUUCCAACCAGUUGCACAACAACAGGCACCCUCCGAGCGGGGUGGAUUUAGGUGGGACCUGGAGGUGACAUUGCCGGGGUGCAAGCGGAGCUGCUCCCAAAACCCUGCUCCCAAAACCCCCUCUGGGGAGAGGCACAGGCUGAGAGCUCAGGUCUGAGGCUCGCUGGUCCCUGUUCAGCCGUGGUACCAGCGUGAGAUAUCUGCGGGGAAUUACCAGGAGGGUUCUUUCUCCCCAGCAGAUAAUGUGGGGUGGGGUGAAGGGGAAGCAAGAAGGAGGAAAAAUCUGGGGGUUGUCGUGGCACGGAAUGAAAGCACAGCUUGUGGCCAAAUGGCAGGGGGCUUUCCAGCCAGCGGGGGCCACGGGGACGUUUUCUGCCUGGUUAUGAGACCGACACUGAGGAUGGGGUGGGAGUGAGAUCCCUGAGGGCACAGCUGGCCUGUGCUCGGCACAAGUGGCUGCGUUCUCACCUCUCCCCACUCCCUCCUCACCCUCAGCCACCUUUUGGACACGGGGGCCAUGCCAUGGGUGCGCUGUGGGUGCUGGGGACCCCGUGGUCCCUUUCUGGGUGGUGGCACUGCCAGGACCCCGGCGCUGUUUUGGGGGCUGGGCUACCUGCAUACAGCAGUCAGGGUUUUCUUUUCUCCUCAAUGCAUGAAAACAAACCUCAGGAGAGCAUUUUUCUGCCUCUGCCUUGAGCACACCUGCUCCAGGUUUUUUGGCAGCACCAAAGCCUUUAGGGGCACGGAUAUCACCUGAGCAGCCCUCUGGGCUUCACACCCUGCUUCCAGGCACGUAAUUGCCCUUUACCCGAGCUUAAAAUCCAGCUCCCAGCCUGCCCGUGGCGAUCACACCCGUGCUGUGCAUCAGAGCCCCUCUGUCUGCACGUCACAGCGACCAUCCUCCGACGUCGGCGCAGCAGCAGCAGCACCAGCCCCGUGCGUGGCGCACCGAAUUCAGCCGGGCUGAGCUCCCAGCUCCUCACCAGCACAGCUCCCUCCCCGGCGGCCCGGGAAAGAUCAUUUGCAAAGCAUGGGGAAAAUAAAGCCUGAGCGUGGCCAGCCGAGUGACGACUG
Molecule: long non-coding RNA, 4077 nt
Filed under: Anas platyrhynchos platyrhynchos (common mallard)
Lineage: Eukaryota; Metazoa; Chordata; Aves; Anseriformes; Anatidae
Description: lncRNA (ENSAPLG00000018578.1)
Source: RNAcentral